UUUUUUUUUUUUAAAUUCAGUUUAUCCCCCUUGGUUAGAAGUAAAAUGUCCUUGCAAAGAGAAAAAUUUCCAUAAACAAUUUUAUCAGUCUAGAUAGAAUGACUGUAAAAAUUAUCACUACAUAUAUAAUGGGAAACUUCACAAAAAAAUGAAUUAGAAAAAAAAAUCUAUUUGUUCAGUACAUUUUUGAAUGUGAAAGGAUCCAUGAAAAGGAGGAAGAAUCAAAAAUCCACAUUCUAAAAUCAGGGAAAAUCAACAGCCUGAGAAGAAGUUGUGCAUACACAUGCCCAGGCAUUUCAUCACAGGACUCCCUCCACACAGCCUUCCCAGUGCUCACCGGCAGGAAAACCACGUUUCUCUGGGCAGCACAGUCAGUUCCAGAUUGAAAGGAUUUCUCAAAAGGUCAGAGUUGUGGACAUAUUGCUCAAAACAAACAGGAGAAUGUAGAAAUAAGAGGAAAGAUGGAUAGGUGCAUUAGGGCUGUGUAAUGCAGGUGCCAGGAGUCACACUACCAGGACCGACGAGCAUGUCAUAGCUGCACUGCUAGGGAGGGAAUAAAAGGAGCUGCUUAAAUGCAAGACGCGGUGUGUCUUUCUUCCCCAUCCUUUGUCGGCCAGAGUCUGACAUUCAUACUCAGGAUGUCAUGAAAAUGUAACUGAUGAGGUCAGGGAGUGGGGGGAAGAAACCCAAGCACUCCUACUGUCCAACCCAAUGGAAUUCCCUAUGGGUAGGCCCUCAAAGUGAUGCCAAUUACUGUGAGAUUCAUGGUUUUCACUUCUGUAAUAACCUUUCCACCUUAACCAAAAUCUUGGCAGCCAAGGAAUCCACCAAGCUGAAGCCAAAGGCAGCAUGUUUUAAAAUGGAAUCCUUGCCCAAAAAGGACACACUCAGAAAAAAGCAAUGAACUCUAUUCUGUACCUGGGGAAUGGCUCUAAGUUACAAAGCCAAGGAGAGCUAUGUUCCAGUUAAAAGCCAGCCAGAACCAGACCAAGCUGGGCUGCCCAGGAGUAUGGGUUUAGGGAUGUGGAGAAGUGUUGUGGCAAAGAACAACUCUUCUUUUCCCUGUUUAGCUGGAGUUUGACCUCAUUUGGACAGCCACAGACAUUCCAGCAACAAACACGGGGCUUCUCCAAAACAAGUGACCAGAUACAUUUUAAGGAAAACAGAGGAGGGAGUGGGAAGAGAACGUAUAAGAUUCUUAAGAGACUUAAAUCAACCUGUUGCUAUGUGUGGAUCUCAUUUGUACCUUGAUUCAAAUAAACUACUAAAAAUGACAAAAUAGCAGGGGAAAAUCUAGAUAUUUGAAUUGACAUUAAUUUUUAGUGUGAUAAUGGAUGGUAUUUGUUCAUAUAUUUAUUUACCUGAUUCCACCUUAUUUAGAUAAUCUGAAAUAUUUAUGGAUGAAAUGAUGCCUGGGAUUUGCUUUGCAAUAAUCUGGUCAGAUGGGUAUAGAGGAAAACAAGAUGGCGGCAUUGAGUUGAGACUUCUUGAAGCUGGGUGAUUAGUACACAGGGGUUCAUGUGCUC
Long non-coding RNA from Macaca fascicularis (crab-eating macaque), 1526 nucleotides. Lineage: Eukaryota; Metazoa; Chordata; Mammalia; Primates; Cercopithecidae. The record is from Ensembl.